RNAcentral lists this ribosomal RNA (429 nucleotides) under Chloroflexota bacterium. RNAcentral describes it as "Chloroflexi bacterium partial 16S ribosomal RNA". It matches the Rfam family "Bacterial small subunit ribosomal RNA", at positions 355 to 776 of the family's 1533-position model. Lineage: Bacteria; Bacillati; Chloroflexota. The record is from RNAcentral.
UGGGGAAUAUUGCACAAUGGGCGCAAGCCUGAUGCAGCCAUGCCGCGUGUGUGAAGAAGGCCUUCGGGUUGUAAAGCACUUUCAGCGGGGAGGAAGGCGAUAAGGUUAAUAACCUCAUCGAUUGACGUUACCCGCAGAAGAAGCACCGGCUAACUCCGUGCCAGCAGCCGCGGUAAUACGGAGGGUGCAAGCGUUAAUCGGAAUUACUGGGCGUAAAGCGCACGCAGGCGGUUGAUUGAGUCAGAUGUGAAAUCCCCGGGCUUAACCCGGGAAUUGCAUCUGAUACUGGUCAGCUAGAGUCUUGUAGAGGGGGGUAGAAUUCCAUGUGUAGCGGUGAAAUGCGUAGAGAUGUGGAGGAAUACCGGUGGCGAAGGCGGCCCCCUGGACAAAGACUGACGCUCAGGUGCGAAAGCGUGGGGAGCAAACAGG